GGGGAUUUAGCUCAGUGGUAGAGCGUUUGCCAAGCAAGCACAAGGCCCUGGGUUCGGUCCCCAGCUCCG
This is a non-coding RNA of Rattus norvegicus (Norway rat), 69 nucleotides long. The record is from Rfam. NCBI's taxonomy places the organism in Eukaryota, Metazoa, Chordata, Mammalia, Rodentia, Muridae.